RNAcentral lists this ribosomal RNA (465 nucleotides) under Vreelandella stevensii. Its description in RNAcentral is "partial 16S ribosomal RNA". It matches the Rfam family "Bacterial small subunit ribosomal RNA", at positions 338 to 795 of the family's 1533-position model. Lineage: Bacteria; Pseudomonadati; Pseudomonadota; Gammaproteobacteria; Oceanospirillales; Halomonadaceae. The record is from RNAcentral.
CCUACGGGCGGCAGCAGUGGGGAAUAUUGGACAAUGGGCGAAAGCCUGAUCCAGCCAUGCCGCGUGUGUGAAGAAGGCCUUCGGGUUGUAAAGCACUUUCAGUGGGGAAGAAAGCCUUGGGGCUAAUACCCUCGAGGAAGGACAUCACCCACAGAAGAAGCACCGGCUAACUCCGUGCCAGCAGCCGCGGUAAUACGGAGGGUGCGAGCGUUAAUCGGAAUUACUGGGCGUAAAGCGCGCGUAGGCGGUCUGAUAAGCCGGUUGUGAAAGCCCCGGGCUCAACCUGGGAACGGCAUCCGGAACUGUCGGGCUAGAGUGCAGGAGAGGAAGGUAGAAUUCCCGGUGUAGCGGUGAAAUGCGUAGAGAUCGGGAGGAAUACCAGUGGCGAAGGCGGCCUUCUGGACUGACACUGACGCUGAGGUGCGAAAGCGUGGGUAGCAAACAGGAUUAGAUACCCGUGUAGUC